ACCGCGCCCGGCCAAUCCAAUCUUUAAGAGCUCGAGUUGCUGUGAGCUACCCAAUCUCUGGACCUGCAGUAAAGUGAACAUCAAGCAGAUUGUCAAGAGAAGGUCCUACAGUGGAAUGAUGUUUGGAGAAGAAAACUUCCAAGAUGCCGUAAUUGACUAAUUUACCUCCUGUUCCUCUACAACUUAUAGGAGAAUCACAACCAGGCACACAUCAAGGAAAGGCUGUGUGAGGACACAGGGAGAAAGCAUCAUCUACAAACCAGGAAGAGAGCCCUUACUAGAAACCUAACCCUACCAGCACCUUGACCUUGGACUUCUACCCUACAGAACUGUGAGAAAUAAAUUUCUGUUGUUUAAGCCAUCAAGUCUGUGAUAUUUUAUGAUGGCAGCCUGAGAAGACUGAUAAAAAGCUAAAACACAUUUAAAUGAAAAAAAAAAUAUUUAUUUAUAUAAUGUAAAUAUCUUCCAGCUUGAUAGCCUCUGUGGGUGACUGCAUUUUGGCUGCCACAAUAUCUCCCCUCCCACAUGUACAUCUACCACGUGACAUUGAGUAUCUCCCAUCCCACACGUUUAUCUACCACGUGACAUUGAAUUGUCACCAAUCAAGAUGUACAAUCUGUGACUUUCCCUUUGGAAUUGCACAAACUUAUGUCUCAUUAGUAACCAGUGUGGUAGAAGUGAUGCUGUGUGCCUUCUGAGGCUGGGUCAUGAAGACAAUGCAGUUUCCAACUUGAGAGUUGGAGCACUUGCUUUAGGAGUGCUGUCACCAAGAAGGUUUGGAUACCCUAAGGCUGCCAUGUUGUGAGGAAGCCCAGGCCAGUGGAGAAGCCACUUUUGGAUGCUCAGCUUACUGUCAAGCACACAGGAAGUAUGAAAGAGAAGGUCCCAGAUAAAAGUCAACACCAAUAUCCCAACAUGUGAAUGAAGACACCUCUUGAUGAUUUCAAAGCCCAACAAUCAUCAAGUCACCCCUAGGAUAGUAUUUCUGGGAGGUCCACAAUUGAUCUCUCACAUGUACUCACAUAUUGGUUUCUGCUGUCAUCACAUGAUCAAUCAUCACCACUGUUGUUCCUCUGCUGCCUGGAGGUUCUCCAUCCCUGCCUUUGCCCUUCCCUCACACUCUCAUUUCAAGGUCCCUGUCAAAGAGGAAUGAUUUAACAGCUUUCAGGAUUUGGCAACUCCAAUGCCGCUGAAGACUGAGUGUGGAAGAGGCCCCAUUGCCAAUUUUCAGCCAUACUUUGUCACUUGGGCUCCAAAGCAACCUAGAAAGUCACAAAAGCUACUCCUGGGCAAUUUUCUGCCAACUCUAGUAGCCGUGCUUAUUCAAUAACAAUUAUAUAAUACUCAAUGUGAGACAGUUACUAUUUCCAUCACUUAAAAAGAUUAACCUACCUUUACAAUAACCUUAUGAGUUUUGUUAUUAUUUUGUUUUACAGAAGAGGAUACUGAGAUUUAGCAAGGCUAAAUAACCAGCUUAGGGUCACCCAGCUAGGAAGUAGUAGAGCUAGUGUGUGUGCAUACACUGGCACAUGCAUGCUCAUAUGUGCAUGUGUACUUGUAUCUUUCUCUGCUGUGUAUACUUGGAAGCAGGUUUUGGCUUGCCUGAGUCUAUGGAUGGAGGUAAGAGCAGCCAAUAUUUAUUGCAAGAGAUAAACAAACCCUAACCCAGCCAAGCUUUAAAGUGUCUGGGGUUUUAAGAGCUUUCCAGGCCCUUUGACGAAACCCAUCAGGCCAGAGUAAUGAUGCUGCGGUUUGCCAUUCAUUCUUAUUGGGUUUAAUGAAGAUAAAGGAGCUCUCUUUAUGUGUCCAGUUGGGCUUAACAAAUUAACCAGGCUGCCGGAGGGGUACAUGUGAACAGAAUAUUUGUCCUCAUAAUGUUCAUUAGGAGGGAGAAAGUUAACUAACCUUUUGUUCUGUAUUUCUUUUCCUAAAGCCCAGUGAAAACUGCAGAGCUGAAACAUCAUCGCUAAUCUUAUUUCUGACGGGCCUUUUUCUAACUUCUCCUUUUAUGAUCAUUUCACAGCUGUUAUAUUGAAUCAGUAUCAUUAUGUGUUUAAAAAAAAAAUUAUGCUCUGUGUCUCAGAGCUAACUGUCCAGAACUAAACAUCCUGGCCCCCUUUGGACAAUGACAGGCUGUCAGAGAACUGGAAAGGGGAUUGGGUUGGUUUGUUUGCUUCUUGUGUCCUCUUGACAGCUCCUGGUGAAUGAAGGAAAGCUGCGAUGAUCAGAUUUUUGCUAUGGGUUUACAACAUGACUAUAAGCAAAUCCCUGUAGCAAAUUGCAAAAAUGGCCCCCAAGUCCUGAAUGCACACCCCUUUCCAGUGGGAUUUUGCCACAUCUCUCAUUAACAGGUGGAGUCCCUAUUUCACACUUUGAAUCUGGAAUUAGUAAUGGGAUUUGCUUUGUCCAAUGGGAUGUCAGCUGAGGCUUGAAAGGCACUUGUUGGAGUUUGCUUUACCAUGCUGCAUCUAUAAUCUUGAGACCCUCACGUUACCCGGCCUGAGCUAGCCUGCAAGAAAAUGAGAGAAGAUAAGGAGAAGAAACAAAGUACAAUGGUUGAUGGUCACCCUUGUUAAUUCAACUGAUAGACUUCCAACUGCUAGACAAGUGAGGGUGGCCACCCUAGAUCACUCAGCCAUCAGCCCGCAUGCCAACUGAUCACAGAUGCAUGAGAGCCCAGCAGAGAUAAGCCAUGCUAACCCAGGCAGAAGUAUCACCCAACUGACACACAGAAUCAUGGACUAAAUAAAAUGGUUAUUUUUUAAAGCCACUAAAUUUCAGGGUGGUUUGUUACACAACCAAAGCUAACUGAUACAUGCUCCUCUUCUUGAAGCACAUGACAGCUUACCUAAAUGGGGUGCAAUUUAUACCAAGAAGUCUUCAAGAAGGUGAACAUCCAUGUGCUACAGGAGUUGGCUUUUAAGAAGUUAGCUCCCCUAUAUUCAAGGGC
RNAcentral lists this long non-coding RNA (2950 nucleotides) under Homo sapiens (human). RNAcentral's name for it is "HSALNT0264739". Lineage: Eukaryota; Metazoa; Chordata; Mammalia; Primates; Hominidae. The record is from RNAcentral.